AUCCUUUCUCAUGUUAACCUCAGAGGAAGUAUUUGUAUGUGUGUUACUCAGGAGCCCAAAUUCUCAAGUGUAGGUGAGCUCUGCUCACCACAGCAGGACCUGGUGAUGAAGGGGUGAGAAAAAGCAGCUGUGCCCCAGUGCUGAGGCUCUCUCUAGCUUGUGCUGGCAUGUUGGGGGCUCCUGAAGGCAGUUUACAUUUUUGGUGAUUGCUGGAGUACAGUACGCUGUGGCCACACUCCCCACUGCCCUGCAUGUCUCCUGUGGCAGAGUGGAUAGCAGGACACCUUUUGCUAUACUUUUCGUGAUGACUCUCUGCUGGUUCUCCAGCUGUACCAAGGAUAUGCUGGGCACCUCACUGAAUAAAUCAUUAGACAAGGCCUCUACCCAAAGCACCAAUCAUCUAGAAUCUAGACAUGAUGACAUUACCAAGGAGGGGAGCACAAUCAAGAGAGAAGGCACGAACUUGACUCAUACAAUCUGGCAGAGCUUUCACUGUCCUACACCUCUGUGUGAACACUCCGUUCUGGGCUGUUGCAUUUUGACACUGUGAGUACAUUUUUGUAGCAGCAUGGUUGUUUCAUCCCAAACCACACUCCAGACUUACUGAGUUUCAGACAGUUCAGUUUCAGUUGCCCCCAUGAAGUGGGACAGUGAUCCAGUGAGCUGAGCACUGCAGUGGGCGUAAGGAGAUUCGGGUUCUAUUCCAAGCUCUACUACUGACCUGUUAUGUGACCUUGGGCAAGGCUUUGCCUCAGUUUUCCCAUCUAUAAAAUGGGUGUAAUGAUACAGUAGAACCUCAGAGUUAUGAACGUCUCAAGAAUGGAGGUUGUUCGUAACUCUGAAGAAAACAUUAGGGUUGUUCCUUCAAAAGUUUACAGCUGAACAUUGACUUAAUACAGAUUUGAAAGUUUAUGCAGAAGAAAAAUGCUGCUUUCCCUUCAUUUUUUUAGUAGUUUAUGUGUAACACAGUAAUGUACUGUAUUUUCUUUUUUUCCCCUUUUGUCUCUUCUGCUGCCUGAUUGCAUACUUCUGGUUCCAAAUGAGGUGUGUGGUUGAUUGUUCAGUUCAUAACUCUGAGGUUCGACAGUACUUACUUUCCAGUUGUAGAAAUUUUUGAGUUCUGUGGCUGAAAAAAAUAUUAUAUAAGAGCUAAGCAGAAAUAUAUUUGUUAACUGGCUUGAUAAAAUUCUUAUAAGUGCUAUAAAAAGUCAGCUUAGGAAAAAAAUAUGGCUGUCUGAGGAUAUGUUUACACUGCAGUCAGAAGGGUGACUGCAGCGCGUACAGGUUUUAAUCUCGCUAGCCUGCAUAAAAAUAGCCGUGCAGCUAGUGGCACAUGCUUCAGUGUGGACUGUCCAAGUCCCUCCCCAGAGCCCUGGGCUCAUACUCACAUUUCUUGCCCACAGUGGGGUCCAUGCCACCCCUCUUCACUGCUAUUUAUAGCCACACUAGCUAGAUUAAUGCUAGUGGGAGGAUGCCUACACCAGCUGCAAUCACACCUCUAGUUGCAGUAUAGACAUAGCCUAUGUGUGGACUUGCAUCAGAAGCUGAUCAAUGUGUGCAUGUAUCUUUUGUUGCCUUCUUUUUCAGCAGGGUUUUGUGUAGUGUUUGUAUGUUGACAUUACUGGCGAAAGAUUACUGGAUCUCCGCAAUUUAGUUCACAUUCACUAGAGGAUUGCUCUACUCACAUUCACUAGAGGAUUGCUAUUGACAAGAGGAAUAAGAGUCCAGAUAAUGACCAAUCGCAGAAGAUAGUUGCUUUAGAGCAACCGUCUCUCACGCUUACGAUACAACAUGUAGCUAAAUGUUAUUGGAGACAUCUUUCCCUUUCUUCUUUGUGUGGUGGUCUCAAAAUCACUGUAACGCUCCUGUUCUUCAGCUGGCCAAAUUCUGCCUUUCUCUCCCUCCACCAUGCGCUAUUGGAAGAACCCAUCCCAGAUAUAGGCAGAUUUUAGUCUUGCUGAUAACAGGGAUAUUUUCUAACACUUUUCCAGAUUCAGCUCUACCAAUGCUCGCACCAUUGAUACUCCACAUGUUGACAGCUGUCUGGCGAUCACUAGCAUUCAGAACACGAUGUUCUGUACCCUGCCCAGAGCAAUUCUCAUACUGUGUUAAAAAUAAUGGUUCCAGUUAAAGACCCACCUCCACUGUGAAUCCUAGCAGAACACCCGUGUAGCUGAUCUAGUAUUAAUAGCAAGCGGAGACAAGGCCAAACGUGCUGUGUUCCAAGACUGCUUGCUGAACUGUAUCCAGGCUGCUCUGUGUCCUUUGAAGAUCGGCCCACUCUGUGAAGCAGUUUCAAAAUGAAAAGCUCUUCACUGCAGCAGCACUGGAGCCAAACUCAAGAAGAUUAAUUGAGGCAGAGAGAACCUGGAUACUAAGCAAUGGUUAGGUCUGACUUUUACAAGGGACCAGAAAGGAAAAACGGGGAUUAUGGGAAGAGGAGACAUACAGAGCAAGGAGAAAGAGAAGGUGGGGAGGCAAGGAAAACAGAUUAGGGGAGACAAGUCCAAGGGAAACACAAAGACUGAAUAGAGAAAAGAGAAAGAGUUUGUUCAUUGCAUUUACCUGUAGUGUCAUGCUUGCAUUUCAGGUAGGCAUUGAUUUACAUAUGACUUUGAUAUAUAUCAGAAAAGGGGUAACUAGCCAAUAGACCCCUGAUGGUUCCCUAAUCAUUUAUUUUACCACCUUGUCACAGAGCAUGGUUCCCUAACCCUGAAUUCCUUGUUGCAAACGGCCCUCACACACUUGUGGCAAGCUCAACACCAAGUGCUUUAUUUGCCAGGUGCUUUCUAUAUGUUUGGUCCCAAUAGCAUAAGGUUUUUCCCCAAGUCUUUACCUACUACCAAGGCAUAGGCAGCAGGAGGCUCUGAGACCUUAGGUAUCUCUGACCCUUCUUUCCAGCCUUUCCCCUCUCUGCUGGCUCUUCCUCCCUGUCUUUUAACUCUUUCCAGCUGACAAACUGAGUCACCCAACUAACUAGUUAAUCCCAUAGUACUGAAACUAUUACCUUGUCAGUUUACCCCACGUGGGGACAGUUCCGAAGUGCACAGAGUGGAGAGUCAGCCCUAGGCUUUUCACACUGUCACACACCUACAAGCAUUUUCACUAAGGCCUGGGUGAGCUAGAGGGAUUAUAUUUAUUUUACAGGCAGAACUUUAAAAUGCCAAUCACAGCUCUGAUUAAAAUAAUUUUUUUGAGGUAAAAAAAAAGAAAAGAAAAAGAAAAGGAAAUUAU
Chelonia mydas (Green sea turtle) is the source of this 3234-nucleotide long non-coding RNA. RefSeq lists it as uncharacterized. The transcript is spliced from 3 exons. Lineage: Eukaryota; Metazoa; Chordata; Testudines; Cheloniidae. The record is from RefSeq and is a predicted model, not a curated record.